GAGUAACACGUGGGUAACCUGCCCAUAAGACUGGGAUAACUCCGGGAAACCGGGGGUAAUACCGGAUAACAUUUUGAACCGCAUGGUUCGAAAUUGAAAGGCGGCUUCGGCUGUCACUUAUGGAUGGACCCGCGUCGCAUUAGCUAGUUGGGGAGGUAACGGGUCACCAAGGCGACGAUGCGUAUCCGACCUGAGAGGGGGAUCGGCCACACUGGGACUGAGACACGGCCCAGACUCCUACGGGAGGCAGCAGUAGGGAAUCUUCCGCAAUGGACGAAAGUCUGACGGAGCAACGCCGCGUGAGUGAUGAAAGCUUUCGGGUCGUAAAACUCUGUUGUUAGGGAAGAACAAGUGCUAGUUGAAUAAGCUGGCACCUUGACGGUACCUAACCAAAAAGCCACGGCUAACUACGUGCCAGCAGCCGCGGUAAUACGUAGGUGGCAAGCGUUAUCCGGAAUUAUUGGGCGUAAAGCGCGCGCAGGUGGUUUCUUAAGUCUGAUGUGAAAGCCCACGGCUCAACCGUGGAGGGUCAUUGGAAACUGGGAGACUUGAGUGCAGAA
RNAcentral lists this ribosomal RNA (560 nucleotides) under Bacillus cereus. RNAcentral describes it as "bacterial SSU rRNA". It matches the Rfam family "Bacterial small subunit ribosomal RNA", at positions 108 to 653 of the family's 1533-position model. The record is from RNAcentral. Lineage: Bacteria; Bacillati; Bacillota; Bacilli; Caryophanales; Bacillaceae.